ACUGAAGUCAUCCAAGGGCUGAAGGACCUAAAGAAUCUGAAAACCCUCAUACUUGAUGGAGCACCGGUUUCUGAAUCAUUCUUCAAGAUCAUUAAUUUCAAUUGCAAGUAUUUGGUCGAAAUAGGGCUUGGAAAAUGCAAAGGAGUGACUGACAAGGGCAUUCUCCAGCUGGUAUCAGGGGGUGUUAAUUUAAAUAUCUUGAAUCUCACAUGCUGUAGCGAACUUACA
This 228-nucleotide unclassified non-coding RNA is filed under the name Hevea brasiliensis (rubber tree). The record is from RNAcentral. Lineage: Eukaryota; Viridiplantae; Streptophyta; Magnoliopsida; Malpighiales; Euphorbiaceae.